This 271-nucleotide ribosomal RNA is filed under the name uncultured bacterium. RNAcentral describes it as "partial 16S ribosomal RNA". It matches the Rfam family "Bacterial small subunit ribosomal RNA", at positions 524 to 794 of the family's 1533-position model. The record is from RNAcentral.
UACGAAGGGGGCUAGCGUUGCUCGGAAUCACUGGGCGUAAAGCGCACGUAGGCGGACUCUUAAGUCGGUGGUGAAAUCCUGGAGCUCAACUCCAGAACUGCCUUCGAUACUGGGAGUCUCGAGUUCGGGAGAGGUGAGUGGAAUUCCCAGUGUAGAGGUGAAAUUCGUAGAUAUUGGGAAGAACACCAGUGGCGAAGGCGGCUCUCUGGUCCGAUACUGACGCUGAGGUGCGAAAGCGUGGGGAGCAAACAGGAUUAGAUACCCUUGUAGU